This 503-nucleotide ribosomal RNA is filed under the name uncultured bacterium. RNAcentral's name for it is "partial 16S ribosomal RNA". It matches the Rfam family "Bacterial small subunit ribosomal RNA", at positions 30 to 523 of the family's 1533-position model. The record is from RNAcentral.
AUUGAACGCUGGCGGCAGGCUUAACACAUGCAAGUCGAGCGGGGUGAUGGUGCUUGCACUAUCACUUAGCGGCGGACGGGUGAGUAAUGCUUAGGAAUCUGCCUAUUAGUGGGGGACAACAUCUCGAAAGGGAUGCUAAUACCGCAUACGUCCUACGGGAGAAAGCAGGGGAUCACUUGUGACCUUGCGCUAAUAGAUGAGCCUAAGUCGGAUUAGCUAGUUGGUGGGGUAAAGGCCUACCAAGGCGACGAUCUGUAGCGGGUCUGAGAGGAUGAUCCGCCACACUGGGACUGAGACCCGGCCCAGACUCCUACGGGAGGCAGCAGUGGGGAAUAUUGGACAAUGGGGGGAACCCUGAUCCAGCCAUGCCGCGUGCGUGAAGAAGGCCUUAUGGUUGUAAAGCACUUUAAGCGAGGAGGAGGCUCUUUUGGUUAAUACCCAAGAUGAGUGGACGUUACUCGCAGAAUAAGCACCGGCUAACUCUGUGCCAGCAGCCGCCGUAA